Eucalyptus grandis is the source of this 104-nucleotide non-coding RNA. The record is from Rfam. NCBI's taxonomy places the organism in Eukaryota, Viridiplantae, Streptophyta, Magnoliopsida, Myrtales, Myrtaceae.
AAUCUAUGAUGUGGGCAUCUUUAAGAUACUCCUUGAAUCUUUCUCAUUAUUCAAACAUUGAUUCAUUAUCCAUCUAUAUAAAAUUAGUAACAUUGUUACACAUU